This 440-nucleotide ribosomal RNA is filed under the name uncultured bacterium. RNAcentral's name for it is "partial 16S ribosomal RNA". It matches the Rfam family "Bacterial small subunit ribosomal RNA", at positions 338 to 795 of the family's 1533-position model. The record is from RNAcentral.
CCUACGGGUGGCUGCAGUGGGGGAUAUUGCACAAUGGGGGAAACCCUGAUGCAGCGACGCCGCGUGAGUGAAGAAGUAUUUCGGUAUGUAAACCUCUAUCAGCAGGGAAGAAAAUGACAGUACCUUACCAAUAAGCCCCGGCUAACUACGUGCCAGCAGCCGCGGUAAUACGUAGGGGCCAAGCGUUAUCCGGAUUUACUGGGUGUACAGGGAGCGUAGACGGUUAUGUAAGUCUGGAGUGAAAGCCCCGGGCCCAACCCCGGGACUGCUUUGGAAACUGUGUAACUGGAGUACAGGAGGGGCAGGCGGAAUGCUUGGUGUAGGGGUGAAAUGCGUAGAGAUCAGGAGGAACACCGGCGGCGAAGGCGGCCUGCUGGACUGAAACUGACGUUGAGGCUCGAAAGCGUGGGGAGCAAACAGGAUUAGAUACCCGGGUAGUC